Molecule: transfer RNA, 74 nt
Filed under: Cordylochernes scorpioides
Lineage: Eukaryota; Metazoa; Arthropoda; Arachnida; Pseudoscorpiones; Chernetidae
Description: tRNA-Ser
Source: RNAcentral
UGAGGAUUGGAUUCGAACCCACGCAGGCAGAACCCAAUGGAUUAGCAAUCCAUCGCCUUAACCUCUCGGCAACC